CUAAGCGCUAACAUUGUAUUCU
Molecule: non-coding RNA, 22 nt
Filed under: Arabidopsis thaliana (thale cress)
Lineage: Eukaryota; Viridiplantae; Streptophyta; Magnoliopsida; Brassicales; Brassicaceae
Source: RNAcentral